Molecule: ribosomal RNA, 492 nt
Filed under: uncultured bacterium
Lineage: Bacteria
Description: partial 16S ribosomal RNA
Rfam family: Bacterial small subunit ribosomal RNA
Source: RNAcentral
AGUGAACGCUGGCGGUAGGCCUAACACAUGCAAGUCGAACGGCAGCACAGUAAGAGCUUGCUCUUACGGGUGGCGAGUGGCGGACGGGUGAGGAAUACAUCGGAAUCUACUUUUUCGUGGGGGAUAACGUAGGUAAACUUACGCUAAUACCGCAUACGACCCACGGGUGAAAGCAGGGGAUCUUCGGACCUUGCGCGACUGAAUGAGCCGAUGUUGGAUUUGCUAGUUGGCGGGGUAAAGGCCCACCAAGGCGACGAUCCGUAGCUGGUCUGAGAGGAUGAUCAGCCACACUGGAACUGGGCCACGGUCCAGACUCCUGCGGGAGGCAGCAGUGGGGAAUAUUAGGCAAUGGGGGCAAGCCUGAUCCAGCCAUACCGCGUGGGUGAAGAAGGCCUUCGGGUUGUAAAGCCCUUUUGUUGGGAAAGAAAAGCAGCAGGUUAAUACCCCGCUGUUCUGACGGUACCCAAAGAAUAAGCACCGGCUAACUUCGUG